This 470-nucleotide ribosomal RNA is filed under the name uncultured bacterium. RNAcentral's name for it is "partial 16S ribosomal RNA". It matches the Rfam family "Bacterial small subunit ribosomal RNA", at positions 28 to 507 of the family's 1533-position model. The record is from RNAcentral.
GACGAACGCUGGCGGCGUGCCUAACACAUGCAAGUCGAACGCUGAAGCACCAGCUUUCCGGUGUGGAUGAUUGGCGCACGGGUGAGUAAUACGUGAGUAUCCCGCCCUUAACUCUGGGAUAAGCCCUGGAAACUGGGUCUCUUAUUGGAUGCUACAUGUCACCCCACGUUGGUCUGUGGUAAGGGUUUCCUGGUCUUGGAUGGGCUCACGGCCUAUCAGCUCGUUGGUGAGUUAAUGGCUCACCAAGGCGACGACGCGUCGCCGGCCUGGGAGGGUGAGCGGCGACACUGGGACUGAGGCACGGCACAGACUCCGACGGGAGGCAGCAGUGGGGAAUAUUGCACGAUGGGCGAAGGCCUGAUGCAGCGACGCCGCGGGAGGGAUGACGGCCUUCGGGUGGUAAACCUCUUGCGGAAGGGAAGAAGCAACAAGUGACGGUACCUGCAGAGGAAGCGCCGGCUAACUACGUG